Molecule: small RNA, 151 nt
Filed under: Paenibacillus pectinilyticus
Lineage: Bacteria; Bacillati; Bacillota; Bacilli; Caryophanales; Paenibacillaceae
Description: c-di-AMP sequence
Rfam family: c-di-AMP riboswitch aptamer (ydaO/yuaA leader)
About the family: This family represents a conserved RNA structure found upstream of the ydaO and yuaA genes in Bacillus subtilis and related genes in other bacteria. The ydaO/yuaA element is thought to act as a genetic "off" switch for the ydaO and yuaA genes in its native state.
Source: Rfam by way of RNAcentral
AACUAUUUGGAGCCGAGUCUGGUGCCACAAAAAGCACUAGUACGGGGGACGAUUUACUUGGGGUGAAUAUUUGCUUCGGCUUGGAGCAGACUAGGGAGAACCUUCUUCCCGAACCCGUCAACUAACCUCGGAGGCGCAAAUGAAGGAGGAU